GGCGAACGCUAGCGGCGCGCCUAACACAUGCAAGUCGUGCGGGAAAGGGCUUCGGCCCCAGUACCGCGGCAGACGGGUGAGUAACACGUGAGUAACCUGUCCUCGGGUCUGGGAUAACCACCCGAAAGGGUGGCUAAUACCGGAUAAAGUCACCGGGCGCAAGCUCGGUGAUGAAAGGGGGCCUCUGCAUAGCAAGCUCCUGCCUGAGGAGGGGCUCGCGGCCCAUCAGGUAGUUGGUGGGGUAACGGCCUACCAAGCCUAUGACGGGUAGCCGGCCUGAGAGGGUGGCCGGCCACAGUGGGACUGAGACACGGCCCACACCCCUACGGGGGGCAGCAGUGGGGAAUCGUGGGCAAUGGGCGAAAGCCUGACCCCGCGACGCCGCGUGGGGGAUGAAGCCCUUCGGGGUGUAAACCCCUGUCGGGGGGGACGAUGUGUCCUGGGGUGAAUAAUCCCAGGGCAUGACGGUACCCCCAGAGGAAGGGACGGCUAACUACGUGCCAGCAGCCGCGGUAAUACGUAGGUCCCGAGCGUUGCGCGAAUUCACUGGGCGUAAAGCGUCCGCAGCCGGACGGGUAAGCGGUGCGUCAAAGCCCACCGCUCAACGGUGGAACGGCGUACCGAACUGCCUGUCUUGAGGCACGCUCAGGCAGGCGGAAUUCCCGGUGUAGCAGUGAAAUGCGUAGAUAUCGGGAGGAACACCGAAGGCGAAGGCAGCCUGCUGGAGCUGUCCUGACGGUCAGGGACGAAAGCUGGGGGAGCAAACCGGAUUAGAUACCCGGGUAGUCCACGCUGUAAACGAUGGGUGCUAGGUCUGGGGAGGUAAUCUCUCCGGGCCGAAGCUAACGCGUUAAGCACCCCGCCUGGGGAGUACGGCCGCAAGGCUGAAACUCAAAGGAAUUGACGGGGGCCCGCACAAGCGGUGGAGCACGUGGUUUAAUUCGAUGCAGAGCGAAGAACCUUACCCGGGCUUGACAUGCCAGGGUUGUACCCCGGUGGAAACACUGGGGGGGCGUGGGGUUUUCUCACGCGCUCUGGCACAGGUGCUGCAUGGCUGUCGUCAGCUCGUGUCGUGAGAUGUUGGGUUAAGUCCCGCAACGAGCGCAACCCCUGCCCUUAGUUGCUACCCCGAAUGGGGAGCACUCUAAGGGGACUGCCGGCGAUAAGCCGGAGGAAGGUGGGGAUGACGUCAGGUCAGUAUGCCCUUUAUGCCCGGGGCAACACAGGCGCUACAGUGGCCAGGACAAUGGGAUGCGACCCAGUAAUGGGGAGCAAAUCCCCCAAACCUGGUCAUGGUGCAGAUUGAGGGCUGAAACUCGCCCUCAUGAAGCCGGAAUCGGUAGUAAUGGCGGAUCAGCUAAGCCGCCGUGAAUACGUUCUCGGGCCUU
RNAcentral lists this ribosomal RNA (1388 nucleotides) under uncultured bacterium. RNAcentral describes it as "partial 16S ribosomal RNA". It matches the Rfam family "Bacterial small subunit ribosomal RNA", at positions 28 to 1382 of the family's 1533-position model. The record is from RNAcentral.